GAGGCCUGGAUAUCUCCCUCAGUAAACCAUUGCUGGACACUAAGAAGGAGGCCCUCCAGUCUGGGUCAGUGCUGCUACUGCUUAAGUAAUAAGGCUGGAGGCUGGGCUGUCUUUAGUCUCCAGCUCUAGGAGGCACAGGUGCACUGAAAGGUGAGACCUUUGGCAAGUGCACCCAGGGAGACCCAUUGUCAUCUAAAUUGAAAUAGACUUCAUUGUCACUGGGUGUCUGGUCAGGGUGUUUUCAUGUCUCUGCAGGGUCUUGAGCAGCAUUGUGAAUGAGAGAGACCUCACUGUGAUAUCUGCAACUCUGUGUCACUCCUGCCAUACCAACCCCACCUGUGUGCCUGGCUUAGGUGGGCAGUGCCCUGCAACGCUCUGACAGCUUGCAAAAGGCACAGCUAGAAGCUUGUCUGUUGGUCUUUGCCCCUCAGCUCUGAGCCAUAUCUCCUGGGGGUUGGGCCACCCACCAUAUGUUGGUAGACUUACUUGAUGCUCAGCCUGCAUAGUGGAAGCAUGUGGUCCUGAAUGCUGGCACACUGUCACUGUGGCUGGGGUGACUGUCACUCUCAUGUCCUGUGGUUGUAUGGUAUGGAUUCAUUAAAUUGCACUCACAGGGUCCUGCAGCUGAAGCACACUUGAGGCUUCAGGAUUGGCUUUGGCUUUAGGACCCAACAGUCUCUGUUGAUUAUAGGCUUGUAAUCUAGGCUAUCUGUGGAAACCUGCUUUCCCACAGGGAGCCUUUCCUUGGCAGAAGUGGCUGCAGAACUAAACUCAGAAACGCUGCAGCAGCUGAAGCGGGAGUGUGGAGGCCUACAGACCCUGCUCAGGAAUAGCCAUCAGGUGUUUGAAGUUCUGAAUGGGCGAGUUCACAUCCGUGACUGGCGGCGGGAGCUGCAGAGGGAAAAGCCUCCAGAAGGCAAGAGGAGCCUGUCUGCAGAGGUGUUCAAGACUCGAAUCUGCUGGUUCUUCACUCACCACCCUGAUGGUUGUGUACUGCCUGCUGCCUGUUGCCCCUUUGCGCAUGGGCUGGAAGAGCUGCGCCCGUCUCAGACCUUGAAGAAGCAGAGGCAGGCUCCCUGAGUCACCUCUUCAGUGUUCUCUAGCUGUUGGGUUCUGUGGCUCUCCUGCCUGUCUCCCUUAUCCUGAUGACAU
This 1152-nucleotide long non-coding RNA is filed under the name Rattus norvegicus (Norway rat). RNAcentral's name for it is "long non-coding RNA NONRATT009452". Lineage: Eukaryota; Metazoa; Chordata; Mammalia; Rodentia; Muridae. The record is from RNAcentral.